GCCGGGCGUGGUGGCGGGCGCCUGUAGUCCCAGCUACUUGGGAGGCUGAGGCAGGAGAAUGGCGUGAACCCGGGAGGCGGAGCUUGCAGUGAGCUGAGAUCCGGCCACUGCACUCCAGCCCGGGUGACAGCGCGAGACUCCGCCUCAA
Papio anubis (olive baboon) is the source of this 148-nucleotide unclassified non-coding RNA. It matches the Rfam family "Metazoan signal recognition particle RNA". From Rfam's summary of the family: The signal recognition particle (SRP) is a universally conserved ribonucleoprotein. It is involved in the co-translational targeting of proteins to membranes. The record is from Ensembl. Lineage: Eukaryota; Metazoa; Chordata; Mammalia; Primates; Cercopithecidae.